Molecule: long non-coding RNA, 676 nt
Organism: Zingiber officinale
Lineage: Eukaryota; Viridiplantae; Streptophyta; Magnoliopsida; Zingiberales; Zingiberaceae
Exons: 2
Source: RefSeq, a predicted model, not a curated record
GCGUUGCAGUGACAAAAGAAAUCCCUCGUCAAACCCCUUCUGCUCCCGAAAUUUCUCUCCGAACCCUUCUAUGCCCUAAACCUUUCUCCGAGUUGCAGCUCCGUCUUCGCCUACUGCUCGCGUCCCGCCUUUCUCCAGGCGACUCCCUUCUCCUUCCCACUUUCUCCAGGCGAUCUUCGACUUCCCCUCCCGAAGGUAUCCAAGAGCUCCAACUCUGUCUCCGCUUGCAGAUCGCGUCCCGCCCUUCCUCAACGAACAACCUAUAGAUCGUGUCCCCGCCUUAAACUGAACUCCAGCCGAAGUCGACAGCGCCAUCUCCUUCCGCUCCCUUAAGUCGACGGUGGUCGGUUUCUCCUUCUCCGUCCCCUUCCGAACUCUAGCUCGGGAUUGCGGACUAAGCAUUGGUGCUAGUCUCUAGAUCAAUCAAGAACCCAGAAAACUAUAUUAUGGAUGUAAGCAACAUUUAUGGUUAAAGUGGGUGAGGUUUGAUACUGGACUAAAUGAAGAUACUAGUGAUAUACAUUUAAGGAUGUUGCCAAGAGUAGAGCCGACAUUAGGAAAUGAAUGCAUUGCUUAUCCUGGGCAUAAUAUAGGAAAUUGAAAUGUAUCGCUUAUCGUCUGGAUAUUUAUGAUAGUGGACUUAUUUAUUUUGGUUGUAUACUUGUUUUGUUUGUUA